RNAcentral lists this long non-coding RNA (491 nucleotides) under Homo sapiens (human). RNAcentral's name for it is "non-protein coding LINC02583:34". The record is from RNAcentral. Lineage: Eukaryota; Metazoa; Chordata; Mammalia; Primates; Hominidae.
UUAACGGCACAGAAGAGGAAGUCCUGUCUUCUGGGAUUGAGUUUGGUAAUCCACCCCUUGGAGCUAAACACAGUAAGAGGAGCCCACCCUUUUCUUACUAUACAGAGAAGAGUAAAACACAGUCACCUUUACACAGCAUCUGAGUGGACCUAACACAGGGCAGUGAAAGUGAUGCAGAACAAACUUCAAAGCCUCCAGGAGCACACGUGACCUCAGGAAAUGAACAGAAACAACCUAGCUCUCCAAAGAGGAGUAUUUCAUUCAACUCCGAACUGCUCACACAUUAUGCAACUGUGAACAAGGCUCAUUUAAAAAUCCAUGAAGCUUCUAAUGUUUUCACCACAAAAUAUAUUAAGUAUUGAGGUGCUGGAUAUGUUGACUAGUUUGAUUUAAUUAUUCCACAUUAUAUGCAUAAAUAGUAACAUCACCUUGUUCCCCAUAAAAUUAUACAAUUAUAAAUUGUCAAUUUGCAAUUAAAACAAUAAAAUCCA